GACGAACGCGGGCGGCGUGCUUAACACAUGCAAGUCGAACGGUGAAGGGACCAGCUUGCUGGUUCUGGAUGAGUGGCGAACGGGUGAGUAACACGUGAGUAACCUGCCCCCUUCUUCUGGAUAACCGCAUGAAAGUGUGGCUAAUACGGGAUAUUCUGGGUCUGUCGCAUGGCGGGCCCGGGAAAGAUAUUGCUUCGGUGGGGGAUGGGCUCGCGGCCUAUCAGCUUGUUGGUGGGGUGAUGGCCUACCAAGGCGGUGACGGGUAGCCGGCCUGAGAGGGGGGACGGUCACACUGGGACUGAGACACGGCCCAGACUCCUACGGGAGGCAGCAGUGGGGAAUAUUGCACAAUGGGCGCAAGCCUGAUGCAGCGACGCCGCGUGAGGGAUGGAGGCCUUCGGGUUGUAAACCUCUUUCGCCAGUGAAGCAGGCCUGCUACUUAUGGGUGGGUUGACGGUAGCUGGAUAAGAAGCGCCGGCUCCCUACGUU
Molecule: ribosomal RNA, 489 nt
Filed under: uncultured bacterium
Lineage: Bacteria
Description: partial 16S ribosomal RNA
Rfam family: Bacterial small subunit ribosomal RNA
Source: RNAcentral